This 535-nucleotide long non-coding RNA is filed under the name Felis catus (domestic cat). Its description in RNAcentral is "lncRNA (ENSFCAG00000045232.2)". Lineage: Eukaryota; Metazoa; Chordata; Mammalia; Carnivora; Felidae. The record is from RNAcentral.
CUGCCUUCGGGAUAUGCUGCUGAACACAACCAUAUUUUUUUAAUCUUAAUUAUUUUAUGGAUAUAUAUUUUUUUUAAUUUUUUUCCAACGUUUUUAUUUAUUUUUGGGACAGAGAGAGACAGAGCAUGAACGCGGGAGGUGCAGAGAGAGAGGGAGACACAGAAUCGGAAACAGGCUCCAGGCUCCGAGCCAUCAGCCCCAGAGCCCGACGCGGGGCUCGAACUCACGGACCGCGAGAUUGUGACCUGGCUGAAGCCGGACGCCCAACCGACUGCGCCACCCAGGCGCCCCUGGAUAUAUUUAAAUCUACAAGAACAGGUGGAGCUUCAUCUACGUGAAACAGAAAUGGACAAGCCAGUAUCAACGCUUCCAUCUACCCCAUCCCUUCACAUCUGCCGCCUUCUUGGUCUGUGCAGUUCAUCACGUGACCUCGAGGCCAUCCAUUUAGAAGCCUGGGUGCUUUCCUGUGAGGCUUGAGGCCCCUUGGGCAGAGUCUUCUACAUCAUCUAUCUUCAUGCACCUAGAAGGAUACCUC